GGUGGGGACGACGUCAAGUCAUCAUGCCCCUUAUGUCUUGGGCUGCACACGUGCUACAAUGGCCGGUACAAUGAGCUGCGAUACCGCGAGGUGGAGCGAAUCUCAAAAAGCCGGUCUCAGUUCGGAUUGGGGUCUGCAACUCGACCCCAUGAAGUCGGAGUUGCUAGUAAUCGCAGAUCAGCAUUGCUGCGGUGAAUACGUUCCCGGGCCUUGUACACACCGCCCGUCACGUCACGAAAGUCGGUAACACCCGAAGCCGGUGGCCCAACCCCUUGUGGGAGGGAAUCGUCGAAGGUGGGACUGGCGAUUGGGACGAAGUCGUAACAAGGUAACCGUA
Molecule: ribosomal RNA, 337 nt
Filed under: Bacillus siamensis
Lineage: Bacteria; Bacillati; Bacillota; Bacilli; Caryophanales; Bacillaceae
Description: bacterial SSU rRNA
Rfam family: Bacterial small subunit ribosomal RNA
Source: RNAcentral